CCCUCACAACGGCUUCCUGGCGUGGGGGGACAUUUCAAAAUGGAGCG
This 47-nucleotide non-coding RNA is filed under the name unclassified sequences. RNAcentral describes it as "SAM-SAH-Weickhmann-2018 RNA". It matches the Rfam family "SAM/SAH riboswitch aptamer". The record is from RNAcentral.